AUAAGCGGAGGAAAAGAAACCAACAGGGAUUGCCUCAGUAGCGGCGAGUGAAGCGGCAAGAGCUCAGAUUUGAAAUCGCCUCGGCGAGUUGUAAAUUGCAGGUUGGAGUCUUUGUGGCGGCGUGUGUCUAAGUCCCUUGGAACAGGGCGCCAUUGAGGGUGAGAGCCCCGUGCGGCACGCGCCUAAGCUUUAAGACCCUUCUGACGAGUCGAGUUGUUUGGGAAUGCAGCUCUAAGUGGGUGGUAAAUUCCAUCUAAGGCUAAAUACUGGCGAGAGACCGAUAGCGAACAAGUACUGUGAAGGAAAGAUGAAAAGCACUUUGAAAAGAGAGUGAAACAGCACGUGAAAUUGUUGAAAGGGAAGGGUAUUGGGCUCGACAUGGGGACUGCGCACCGUUGCUUCUUGUAGGCGGCGCUCUGUGCGGUUUCUGGGCCAGCAUCAGUUUUUGCCGCGGGAGAAUGGGGGGAGGAACGUGGCUCUUCGGAGUGUUAUAGCUUCUCUCAGAUGCCGCGAGCGGGGACUAAGGUUCUGCAACUCGU
RNAcentral lists this ribosomal RNA (539 nucleotides) under Pichia terricola. RNAcentral describes it as "partial large subunit ribosomal RNA". It matches the Rfam family "Eukaryotic large subunit ribosomal RNA", at positions 46 to 602 of the family's 3401-position model. Lineage: Eukaryota; Fungi; Ascomycota; Pichiomycetes; Pichiales; Pichiaceae. The record is from RNAcentral.